Molecule: ribosomal RNA, 297 nt
Filed under: uncultured bacterium
Lineage: Bacteria
Description: partial 16S ribosomal RNA
Rfam family: Bacterial small subunit ribosomal RNA
Source: RNAcentral
GGAUUAGAUACCCUGGUAGUCCACGCCCUAAACGAUGUAUGCUUGGUGUUGGAGGAAUUGCCCUUCAGUGCCGGAGGAAACCCAUUAAGCAUACCACCUGGGGAGUACGAUCGCAAGGUUGAAACUCAAAGGAAUUGACGGGGGCCCGCACAAGCGGUGGAUUAUGUGGUUUAAUUCGAUGCAACGCGAAGAACCUUACCUGGGCUCGAAAUGCAGGAAGUAGGACCCUGAAAGGGGAACCACCCGUCAAGUCGGGAACCUGUAUAGGUGCUGCAUGGCUGUCGUCAGCUCGUGCUG